GGGCGUGUGGCUCAGUUGGUAGAGCGUUCGCUUAGCAUGCCUAAGUGCAUGCGAAAGGUCCUGGGUUCGAUUCCCAGCUCGUCCA
The sequence is a transfer RNA, 85 nucleotides long. It matches the Rfam family "tRNA". Rfam says of the family: Transfer RNA (tRNA) molecules are approximately 80 nucleotides in length. The record is from Rfam.